This 510-nucleotide ribosomal RNA is filed under the name uncultured Bacteroidota bacterium. Its description in RNAcentral is "bacterial SSU rRNA". It matches the Rfam family "Bacterial small subunit ribosomal RNA", at positions 121 to 628 of the family's 1533-position model. The record is from RNAcentral. Lineage: Bacteria; Pseudomonadati; Bacteroidota.
GCAACCUACCUUCAGCUGGGGAAUAGCCCCGAGAAAUCGGGAUUAAUACUCCAUAACAUCCUAUGAUUGCAUAGUCGAAGGAUUAAAGCUCCGGCGGUUGAAGAUGGGCAUGCGUGGCAUUAGCUAGUUGGUGAGGUAACGGCUCACCAAGGCGACGAUGCCUAGGGGUCCUGAGAGGGUUAACCCCCACACUGGUACUGAGACACGGACCAGACUCCUACGGGAGGCAGCAGUAAGGAAUAUUGGGCAAUGGACGCAAGUCUGACCCAGCCAUGCCGCGUGCAGGAUGACUGCCCUAUGGGUUGUAAACUGCUUUUGUACGGGAGAAAACCCUUCGAUUCGUUCGGAGGCUGAUGGUACCGUGCGAAUAAGCAUCGGCUAACUCCGUGCCAGCAGCCGCGGUAAUACGGAGGAUGCAAGCGUUAUCCGGAUUUAUUGGGUUUAAAGGGUGCGCAGGCGGAAUGAUAAGUCAGUGGUGAAAUCUCCCGGCUCAACCGGGAAACUGCCAUU